Long non-coding RNA from Drosophila miranda, 1326 nucleotides. RefSeq lists it as uncharacterized. The record is from RefSeq and is a predicted model, not a curated record. NCBI's taxonomy places the organism in Eukaryota, Metazoa, Arthropoda, Insecta, Diptera, Drosophilidae. The transcript is spliced from 2 exons.
CUUUGGAAGAUCCGCCAUAAUCAGGCAGGCUCCGUUUUUCAUUUACUUUUGCGGAUUACGUUUUCAGCCAAAACGUUUCGAUUUCGUUUUAAGGUGCUCCAGUUUUCACAUAUUUUUUUUAUUGAUAUGUUUCUUUUUUCAUCGUUUCUGGCAAACAAAAACAGCUGACCUGGCUGCUUUGUAAAAAUACAGCGUGAUUAAAAUGCCUUUUAUUUUUUCAAUUGCUUGUUUUGAAGCAAAACGAUUGCAGAAAUUACGUGAUCUAAGAAGAUCUAGACAUCUUAGAUGCAACACUUGUGUAUUUAACAUGUCUGACGAACUAUUUGUGAAGUCAUUUCGGAUCGACAAAAAAACUUUCAAAAUGAUUUUGGAGAAAGUUCAACCCCAUUAAGGUGUUACCAGGAAGUUAUCUCCCUCUACGCAAUUGGCUUCAGUAAUGUGAUAUCUCGCCACUGGCUGCUACCAGUGGGCAGUUGCCAAAGACCACCAUAUAAACAUUGGACGCAGUACAUUUGGAAAGAUUCUUCACAAACUUAUUCCGUUGAUGGACAGGCUGUUAUGUAUUGAGUUCAUUUCGUUGUAGAUGAAUAAUCAUCAAUUGCAACAAUCAUAUGAAUAUUUCUAUCGGAACUUUAAAUUGCCUCGAAUUGGUGCCUGUGUGGAUGGAACUCACAUCAGAAUACUAAAGCCUGUACAAAACCACUCCGUGUUCUAUAAUAGGAAAUGAUUUUAUAGCAUGAAUGCCAUGGUGGUGUGUAACUGCAACAUGGAGAUAAUUGCUAUUGAUGCCACGCACCCUGGUUCCUGCCAUGACUCCAUCAUUUGGAAUCACUCCCCUGCUAGGGAAUAUUUAUCCACGACCAUUAAUGGGUUUGUUUUGGCUGAUUCGGGCUACGCUCUAGAGAGUUUUGUUCUGACUCCUUAUAGGAGCGCGGAGAUAGCCACCUAUCAGCACAGAUUCAACAUAAAGCAUACUGGAGCACGAAAUAUUAUAGAACGCACCAUUGGAGUCCUUAAAAGCCGUUUCCGUUGCUUGCAACGCACUUUAAAUUACCCACCAAUAUUUUGUUGCCAAAUUAUAAAUGUAUGCUGUGCCCUGCACAAUAUUUGUAGAAGACGUAAUGUCUUAAUCGAGGAGGAUGUUCGAUUUGACGACCCUUUAGACACUGAAAAUGAAUUCGACGACACUGAAAAUAAUGGAUCAUCUAUACGCGAUGAAAUAGCUCAGGCCAUUCCUUAUUAAAAUGCAAAAUUUUUCAUGUUUUCUUCUUUAUGUCAUUCGAUAUUCUUUAUAACUAAUAAAGCUAAGUUUCACAAAAAAACUAA